UCAUGUCGCUCUCUAUCAUGUUGCUUGCUUGAUAAGUAUGCGUGAUCUGCACAAAGAGACAGGAAGAGGAUGGAGGAUAGUUUGAUCGAUAGCGAGGGAUUGAUUUCCCUUUCAAUGCUGAAGACAGAGGGUCAAGCUCUCGGAGAGCAAGAAAAGGAUGAUGAAGAGAAGCAAGAUAAUGAAGCAGAAGAAGCCGGAGAGGCUGAAGACGAUGGCAAGAAAGAAGGAGAUGACUCCAAUGGUGGCGGGCUAGCCGAUGAUCAAGCUUCGGGCUCGAUGGUUUCCAUUCCAGGCGUCUCUCCAAGAGAAACUGAGGUGGAUCAUAAGAGAGAGGACGGGGCCUUGGGUGGCCUUGGCUCGCUGUGGGCUCUCGGAUCAAGCUUCGUCACCAACUUACCUGUCUCGAAGCAAGAUCACAGCCGUCGAUUUUGUGGGGGUAAUCCUGCGGACUGCACCCGGACAGGGUGUUACAUACUUGACGCGCAAGUUGCCAGGCUAGCCAUCCUAAUCCUUUAUCCGGAGCCUCCACUCUUACCGUUUCUCCGUAUUUUCCUAGUCCGAGACCAGGAAAUCGAAAUCAUGCCCGCCCACGUGUUAACACCUCUCCAUCUCAACCGUCCAGCAAGCGCCUUAUUAACCUUCCUUCGAACAUUUAUAGGGCUCUAAUCUGUCGCGGCGCGGAUCGUAUUGCCCUAAAGCCAUCCUUCUCUUCGAAGCAAAGGAGGUAGAACCCUAAAGGCAUGUCGGGGGCGUAUGGUUCCGGUGGAGCAGACGGCUCUGCUCCUCUGCCUAGCGGCGGCGGCGGCGGCGGCGGUUACGGCAGGGGAGGUGGAGGCGGAUACGGAGUAAACCCCCCAAUUCGAGGCGGCGGCGGCGGCGGCGGCCGCGGCGGGUAUCAAGGCGGCGAUCGUCGCGGCGGCGGCGGCGGCGGCGGCCGAGGUGGGGGUCGUGGAGGCGGCAGGGAAGGGGAUUGGCUCUGCCCUAAUCCUAGUUGUGGAAAUGUGAACUUUGCGAGACGAGUUGAAUGCAAUAGAUGUGGUACGCCAUGUCCUGGCGGUGGCGGAGGCGGAAGUGGUUCAAAUAGAGGAGCUGCUGGUGGUAAUUUUAGCAGAGGCGGCGGCGUUGGUUACAGUCGAGGUGGUGGUGAUUAUAGCUCGGGAGGUCGUGGUGGUUACAAUCAACGCGGUGGAGAUUACAAUUCUGGGGGUGGCAGUGGUGGUUAUAAUCAAGGUGGGGCUGAUUACAAUUCUGGCGGCGGCGGCGGUGGUUAUAACAGUGGUGGUCGGAGCUUUGAUGGGAAUCGUGGUGGUAGAAGUGGCGGAUAUGGCGGAAGAGGAGGUUAUAGUAAUCUUCUGGGAAGGGAAGAUGCUGGUUUUGCUAAUCAAGACAAAGGGGAUGCUGGUUAUGCUCAGGUUUCACCACCUGCCCCAGCCCCCUAUGGGGGUCCUGUAGGGAACUACCCUCCUGCUCCCAACUCUUAUGGUGGGGUUAAUGCUUAUGGUGCUGACCCUGUUCCACCACCCAAUAGCUAUGGCGGGCCUAGUUCCUAUCCCCCGAGCUAUGGUGCACCACCACCGAAUCCUUACACUAGUGAUGCCCUCGUGGGUCAUGGAGAUCCACCUAUUAGUUAUGAUGGUGGAUAUGCUGGUCGCCCGAUCUCGGGCCGUAAUGGUCGUGCUGCUGCUCCACCAUAUAACAGGGCUGGUGGAUAUGGUGCUGUUCCUGUUGAGCCUUCUGGGAAGAUUAAGCAAUGUGAUGAAAAUUGUGGGGACACAUGUGACAAUUCAAGAAUCUACAUCUCGAAUUUGCCACCCGAUGUGACAACUGACGAACUGAGGGAUCUUUUUGGUGGUAUUGGGCAGGUUGGCCGGAUUAAACAGAAACGAGGUUACAAGGAUCAGUGGCCUUGGAAUAUAAAAAUUUAUACUGAUGACUCUGGAAAUUACAAAGGAGAUGCUGUUCUUUCUUAUGAAGAUCCCUCAGCAGCACAUUCUGCUGGGGGAUUUUUCAACAGCUAUGAUAUGAGGGGCUACAAGAUCAAUGUUGCAAUGGCUGAGAAGUCUGCACCUAAAGCUGCACCUGCAUUUGGAGGUGGCAGAGGUGGUGCAUAUGGUGGUGGCGACAGGCGCAGGGAUAAUUUCCGGGAUGGUGGUGGACUGGGGCCUGAUAGGCACCAUUAUGGUGGUCAGCGAUCACGUCCUUACUGAAGAAGGGCAAUUAUAUAUACUAGGAAUGUGAUCUGAGAGAAACACUUUCUAUUCGUAUUCACCAGACUUGUACUCAAAAGAGGAGUCUAAGGUAGGUUGAGCCUAUUCCCUUAGGACUUUUCUCUUUGAAAAAGUUGGAUGGGAAUUUGUUUCUUGCACCUGAAAUUGAUUUAAAUUGUUGUCAGUGUUUUCUAGAGGCAGGUGGAUGUAAUCUCCAAAUUGCUGGUAGGUUUGAUAUUUCAGAUCCUCAACUGAAUCCAAAGCUUCACGUUUCUACGUGCAUGAUUAUUUUCCUCUGGGAUGGCGUGUUGAGGGUAAGCGCUUUAUGAGAUUUUUCUCUUUUCUUGACAAGAUCAUUAUUGAUUGCCAUCAAUUUUCUGUAUGGAUGAUUUUUGUUGGGUCAGUCCAUAUGUUGGCUUGGCUUGAUUCCUCUUUGAUCAGCGAUGUCGGGUUAAAAGGGAUGUAAUCAAUUUUUUUUUUUUUUUAAGGGCACGGAUUCUUUGCGUGCGUGGUUUACAUCAUAAAAUACUGUGCACCGUAUGAUGGCCGUUAUCAUGAUGUGUCAUCUGAUAAUGGCAAUUGGAUGUUGCACUGCAUUCUGGGAUGUAAACUGGACAUCACAAAAAAUCCUUAGUUUUUUUAUUUUUUUCAUUUUUUAAGGGUUCGCUAUGUCGGUAUCCAUGUUGUUCCGCUGGUUCAAACAUGGCAUAAAAAGGGAGAUCUGGCCCGCUGGUCUCUACAGGUACUGGGGCUGCCUCGAGUAUCCUGCAGUGGGGCUCGGCAAUAGCUUCAACUCGAACCUCUGACCUCCACAAGUAAAUAAACAAGAGGACAGUAGAUGAUUUGGGGCAACUGGAAGUUACUGCAUAAAUUUUUGAUGCAGUUACAGUUGAGCAGGACGGUGAUUUGUGACAUGCAACUGUUUGAGGAUUAUCAAAGCAAGCACUGUAAAUUGAUUUGCCCUUUGAUCAAAUUCUGAACCAAGGUGCAGCAGGUACAAGACGGUUGGCCAACCUCAAGGAAACCUCGCUCAGGGACUCCGGUUUUUCACUCGCAAAUGUGAUUAUAUAGGUGUUAGCUUGCUACUUUUUAUGGACACAUUAUCAUUAUUUUAGUUUUCUGUUGAUAUAUUUGUUUAGUUUUCCACAUUGAUCCGUGCUGUCAACUAAGAUUGGUGAAUGUUUUUCCUUCCUAGCCGAGUUAACAUUGCAUGUACUGGUGCUGUUCGGAUUCCA
Molecule: non-coding RNA, 3442 nt
Organism: Phoenix dactylifera (date palm)
Lineage: Eukaryota; Viridiplantae; Streptophyta; Magnoliopsida; Arecales; Arecaceae
Source: RefSeq, a predicted model, not a curated record